CCCACUGAAAGGUAGAUAAUGGAAUAAAGGAUGUCCACAAAGUAAAGGAAAAAUGGAAUAUUUGGAGCAAAAAGGUCAUUAUGAGAAGACAGUGAGUAAGACCAGUAGAGAGGCUGGAUAUCGCCCACCUCUUCCCAAUACCGCACUACCGGCUAAACUCCAUUGAAAGGCGUUUGUCUAGUUAGCAAGAUGACGUUGAGAGUCAAGAAUCCCACAUCACCUAGUUAAUUUCACUCGUUGCGGUGGAAGUAGCAGAAGCCAGCAGCGUAAGCUCAUCUUGUCGAGUACAUCCGAUAAAAUUGGAACGAUACAGAGAAGUUUAGUAUGACCCUGCGCAAGGAUGACACGUAAAAAUAGUGGGCUAAUUUUUUUUUUAUUUUUUUUCUAGCUGGUUCAAAUGGCUUUCUCUUUCUGAUUUCUUUCACAGCUUCGUUCAGGUUUUGGAUACUAGGUUAUUGGGUUACAAACCAGUUAAUGUCCCCGUUGCUGCUUUUAUAAGUUGCUGUUUUAUGUUAGAAUAUGUGCUGAAUCCUGAAGCAGCUAAGCUUGAUGAAAGAACGUCUCACAAAAACACCUAAUCAGGCUCUCCUGUCAAUUCCAGCUAGUUGUAACCUAUAGUAUCUUAAUUUGCUUGAGCCUGAGCUAGUUGUUUAUACAGAUUCCUGCUGUUUCAAUUGACAUAAACA
Long non-coding RNA from Hibiscus syriacus, 686 nucleotides. RefSeq lists it as uncharacterized. NCBI's taxonomy places the organism in Eukaryota, Viridiplantae, Streptophyta, Magnoliopsida, Malvales, Malvaceae. The record is from RefSeq and is a predicted model, not a curated record. The transcript has 3 exons.